CGAACUAUGAAUAUCUUCUUGCUGCAAAAUAGCUACAUCCUACUAAACGACAAAUAAGAUAGUGCAGAAUAAAUAAAGCGUUAAUGCAGCGUUAACAUUAUUGAAGCGAUAGUUUUAAUUCGCUCGCAUAUUCACUAUAGUCUACUAAGCGAUCAAUCGGAUAAUGCAGCUCAAAUAAUGCUGGAAGGAGCAGUUGGAAUAAUAAACUGUUUAUUAAUAUCCAGAAUUACAUCUCGAGUUCAUCAGCGUUCACGGUUGAUUGAAGUCGUCGUAUAACAGCUGCAAAUUCUGCUUCGCUGUUCCUCUAUCAACCUGAACUCAGUGCAGCUGCACCUGAUUUAAGCACUUUCAUCCGAACAACACCGUUUUCAGGCCUUCUUCGCUGAUAAAGUCUGUUCUAUUCUAAGAAUGCAUCUGACGACUGAACAUUGCAUAACGAGAUCUACAAGCACAGUACAGCGAUCACUAGAAUCAUCAGGGUCGAGUAGACAAGAAACUCUGUUUGCAGUAACGGUAUAGCCUUACCCGAAACCAGGUAUUUUAAGAUAGAAAGUUAAUAGGAUAGAGCCGGUUCAGCAUGGUUGGCGUCAUGUGACAUCCACAGCUUGCAAAAACGUAUGCUAUUGCGUUACCUUUGGUUUUGAGGGCCUUCGUCUAUAUGCAACGGUUUAUCUGAUCAGAAGCGCUUACCUUAUUACUUGUUACUUGUGGAUGUUUGAAGCGCUUGAGGG
This is a long non-coding RNA of Anopheles coustani, 731 nucleotides long. RefSeq lists it as uncharacterized. The transcript is spliced from 5 exons. The record is from RefSeq and is a predicted model, not a curated record. NCBI's taxonomy places the organism in Eukaryota, Metazoa, Arthropoda, Insecta, Diptera, Culicidae.